Molecule: ribosomal RNA, 627 nt
Filed under: Triticum aestivum (bread wheat)
Lineage: Eukaryota; Viridiplantae; Streptophyta; Magnoliopsida; Poales; Poaceae
Description: partial small subunit ribosomal RNA
Source: RNAcentral
AUGAAGCCGGUUCAAUGGCUGUCAAAAAUUGUUAUUGAGACUGGAAUCUUACACAUCAUGGAUAACUUACCAGAAGGGUCAAAGAAGGUUGUUAUGCCACUGAGGUUUUCUAUGAAUUUACAGCAAGGGAUCCACAACGUGAAUGAGAUAAGCAAGAAGUUUGAUUACAAGAACCAUCUCAACAAGAAAGACUUGGUCAUGCUGCCAGUGCUCGAGUGCGCUGAUGUAACCGAUAAGGAGGGAGGGAGGCAUUAUUGGGUCUUCAAUGUCAACUUGAGGGACGAACGCUUCGAAGUUCUUGACUCAAACAGGACGCUGGACAACAUUGAGCUGAUGACCAUUGCCUCUACCAUCGCGGGGGCAGUACGCCAGCUAUGGAGGAAGCAUUACCCAAAGUUCAGCAUCGAGCACUUCCAGAUUAUUGACAUUGACGUACCGAAGCAGCUCGGCAAUAAUGAGUGUGGGCUGUUCGCACUGCUUAACGCCACCGAAUGGAACGGUAGCCAACUGCCCAACUACGAACCCAAGGAAGUACUCAACACCAGGAAGAAGCUGGCAUAUGAUUGGGUCACCAGCGUGCACAACACCGCCCCAUGGAGGAAGUUGCUGAGAUACGACAAGGACUAG